Gallus gallus (chicken) is the source of this 1175-nucleotide long non-coding RNA. The record is from Ensembl. Lineage: Eukaryota; Metazoa; Chordata; Aves; Galliformes; Phasianidae.
AGACAAGUUAGCUUCUAUUUGUAGGACAUAUGUCAAAACCUGUGAUUUAGACUUUCUUGGAAAGAAGAGACUUCAGUAAUUGUAUCAGAGCAGUGAUAAGAAAUAUUACAUCCAUCUCCUCAGCACAGUUCCCAUAGAAAUUGGAAAAGCUUGACAUCAUGUGACAACCUUGGGAGGUCAUAUGCAUUGUCUGGGACAAAAGAAGGCCGUGUGAAACAAGUAAAGUCUGCUGGACUCACCUUUUUGUGUAUAUCAGCAUGCAACUAUACCACUUCCUUUCUUCCUACCUGUGGAACCCACUCCUGUUCUCUUAUAACUUUUCACACCUGUAUAAAUACCCGUUUCUAAUAGGUGGAAAAAUUAGAAGCCAAUACAAAUUCUCAGCCAAUCUUAAUACAGCUUUUCACGCACUGAAUAAACUCUCCUCAAAGACAGUUGAGUGAAAACAUCUCAAGUUUUCAUCUUCAGUUCACUGACAUGUGGAUGGGUGAGGUGUAAAAGGUGAACGCAGAAGAGGAUGAAGACCAUGACUGUUGAUUAUUUUGGUUGUUGAUACUGUAAAAUUUGUUUCUUAUUUAGCCUUUAAUUUGACAACUAUAGAAAGAAAAGAAUUGAAGACUAUUUUUAAGGAAAAAAUACAUAAAAAACAACUAAAAGUUGUUUCAAGUGUGACACAGAAGAGCAUGAAGUUUUGGGAAAUAUAAGAACAAAUUAGACAACUCAAUUCUCAUUCCAGGUGAGUGAGCUUUGGAAAUGUCAGUGCAGUGCACUCUGAUAAUCUCUCUUGGUCCGUUUCACCACCACUUGGUUUUAUUAGCUCGCUGGUAAGAUAAGACUCCUUGUUACAUCUUCAGCUUGGAUGCAAUUAGUGUUUUUCCUUUCCCUUGGCUAGCCAAAGAUUGUGAUAUUUUGUGCUGUUCUUCUGACAUGAUUUCUGAAGCUUUUAAUAUUCAGUUCAUAGACCAUAGGAGAGAGUAAAUUAUGCCUCUAUAGUUAUUUGUCUGUGGUUUUGUACAAAGAUGUAUAUAUUGGCUUUUCUCCUGAAUUUUGUUUAAGCAACUAUGACAGCCUGCUUAUUGAUAAAGGGGCUGCUUUUCCAACUUGUUAACUGAAAUAUGUGCUUUCUGAGCCAUAAGUUAUUUGAUCAAACUUACUUUAAAUGUAGUUUUACACCU